This 344-nucleotide long non-coding RNA is filed under the name Mustela putorius furo (domestic ferret). Its description in RNAcentral is "lncRNA (ENSMPUG00000025214.1)". Lineage: Eukaryota; Metazoa; Chordata; Mammalia; Carnivora; Mustelidae. The record is from RNAcentral.
AUAAAAUUAUGGGUUUAUUAUAUUAAUUUUUAGUACUUUUUUUAAAUAAAGAUUUUAUUUAUUUAUUUGACAGAUCACAAGUAGGCUGAGAGGCAGGCAGAGAGAGAGGAGGAAGCAGACUCCCCGCUGAGCAGAGAGCCUGAUGUGGGCUCGAUCUCAGGACCCUGAGAUCAUGACCUGAGCCGAAGAUUUUUAUUUAUUUGAGAGAGAGAGAGAGAGACUGCGAGAGGGGAAUACAAGCAGAAGAGGGAGAAGCAGGCUUCCUGCUGAGCAGGAAGCCCAAUGUGGGGCUUGAUCCCCUAACCUGUUAUUUCUUAAUCUCCGUGUUCUUUAUGUGUAUGUUG